UAUUAGUUAGCUUAAUAAGAGUAAAGUUUUGAAGCAACUCAGGUAAAUUUUAAUUUACUAAUAA
This 64-nucleotide transfer RNA is filed under the name Partulina redfieldi. Its description in RNAcentral is "tRNA-Phe". Lineage: Eukaryota; Metazoa; Mollusca; Gastropoda; Stylommatophora; Achatinellidae. The record is from RNAcentral.